Molecule: long non-coding RNA, 486 nt
Organism: Lycium barbarum (goji berry)
Lineage: Eukaryota; Viridiplantae; Streptophyta; Magnoliopsida; Solanales; Solanaceae
Exons: 3
Source: RefSeq, a predicted model, not a curated record
AUGUGCAAGGCAUGUGACCACUAAUUAUAAGAGAAGACCAAGUCUUCAUAUGUAUCCAUUAAGAGACUUAGAAAAAAAAAGAGAUCAAGAGCAAGUGAAAGUGAGGCUCUCGGGUUUGCCCUUCAAAUUUAGCCCUCAAAAAUCUUGUCCCAAAAAUUCAAAUCUUGUUGAUUUCCUACUAAUUCAAGGCUUCUUUGCAUCUUGGUAUAGUUGGUUUGGAGUGGGGAGCUCUAGAAUCUCCAAGUUGAACACAAGUCCAAGUGAAGAGAGCUUGAAGAAAAGUUUUUCGACGAAACGGGAAGUGACUUUUGGAAGGCGUUAGGAGCGUGAAAGGUACAGACGACAGGUUUGCCGAUCCACACGUCUAGGAUCCUAUUACUGCUAUUUUGGGGCGCUCUCUUCUUCAGAGCCCAUAUUUUGGUACAGUCUGACACCACUAUCUGGAUGUGUACAGUAUUCUGGGUAUGACGGGGCCCUGUCCCGUCU